Molecule: ribosomal RNA, 433 nt
Filed under: uncultured bacterium
Lineage: Bacteria
Description: partial 16S ribosomal RNA
Rfam family: Bacterial small subunit ribosomal RNA
Source: RNAcentral
AACGAACGCUGGCGGCAUGCCUAACACAUGCAAGUCGAACGAGACCUUCGGGUCUAGUGGCGCCCGGGUGCGUAACGCGUGGGAACCUGCCCUUAGGUUCGGAAUAACUCCCCGAAAGGGGUGCUAAUACCGGAUAAUGUCUUCGGACCAAAGAUUUAUCGCCUUUGGAUGGGCCCGCGUUGGAUUAGCUAGUUGGUAGGGUAAAAGCCUACCAAGGCGACGAUCCAUAGCUGGUCUGAGAGGAUGAUCAGCCACACUGGGACUGAGACACGGCCCAGACUCCUACGGGAGGCAGCAGUGGGGAAUAUUGGACAAUGGGCGAAGGCCUGAUCCAGCAAUGCCGCGUGAGUGAUGAAGGCCUUAGGGUUGUAAAGCUCUUUUACCCGGGAUGAUAAUGACAGUACCGGGAGAAUAAGCUCCGGCUAACUCCGUG